UGCGGAAUCCAUUGCCUAUAAAUAGGAUCCGACUUGCGUUCAUCAGCUAUCAUCCAUCAUCGAACACACAAGAAAAAACAUCAAUCAAAGUGCUUACAUCUUUGAGAAAUUCUGCAGGUAUCUCUGAAGAAGAUGAGCUCAACAGCUGACAGCAAGGGGUGCAAUGCUACUCCCAAGACGGAGUGGCCUGAGCUAGUGGGAUGCACGAUCAAGGAGGCGAUGGAGAGGAUCAAGGCGGAGCGGCCGCACCUCCAUGUCGUGCCUGUCCCUGUAGGCUCCUUUGUCACCCAAGAGGUUGACCCUAAUCGCGUCCGUCUCUGGGUUGACAUCGUCGCCGAGGUUCCUAAAAUUGGCUGAAGCAUCGAAACGCCAAGCCACCAAAUAAUGGCAUUUGUAUGUGUUCCUAUGGACCAUUCAUGUGGGUUAAGUAAAUAAAAGCAUGUCUGUGAUGGACUCUUGUAUAUGGUUCGCCUGUCAUAAGUUGUGAAUUGUGAUGAUUGAGUUAUGAAUAAUACGUUGGCAACACUAUCGGA
Panicum virgatum (switchgrass) is the source of this 533-nucleotide long non-coding RNA. RefSeq lists it as uncharacterized. The transcript has 2 exons. NCBI's taxonomy places the organism in Eukaryota, Viridiplantae, Streptophyta, Magnoliopsida, Poales, Poaceae. The record is from RefSeq and is a predicted model, not a curated record.